RNAcentral lists this unclassified non-coding RNA (173 nucleotides) under uncultured fungus. Its description in RNAcentral is "sequence contains ITS1". Lineage: Eukaryota; Fungi. The record is from RNAcentral.
UUGAUUUAAUUGUGUUUUUAGACGUUUACUGCAACUACAGGAGGGUUUGUUGUGGUCCCCAUUGGCGGGCGGGCCCGCCGAGGAAACAGAAGGUACUCAAAAUGCAAGGGGUGGUAUCUUGACGGGGCCGAAGCCCCUCAGUAAUGAUCCUUCCGCAGGUUCACCUACGGAAA